AUGCUUCAGCAGCACGUAUUCCCAAAUUAAAAUACAGAGAAACAUGGCAAUUGCACAAGGAUGAUAUGAAAUUUGUGAAGUAUUCCCUAUUUUU
RNAcentral lists this small nuclear RNA (94 nucleotides) under Dipodomys ordii (Ord's kangaroo rat). The record is from RNAcentral. Lineage: Eukaryota; Metazoa; Chordata; Mammalia; Rodentia; Heteromyidae.